RNAcentral lists this ribosomal RNA (400 nucleotides) under uncultured bacterium. RNAcentral's name for it is "bacterial SSU rRNA". It matches the Rfam family "Bacterial small subunit ribosomal RNA", at positions 359 to 776 of the family's 1533-position model. The record is from RNAcentral.
GAAUAUUGGACAAUGGGCGAAAGCCUGAUCCAGCAAUGCCGCGUGAGUGAUGAAGGCCUUAGGGUUGUAAAGCUCUUUUACCCGGGAUGAUAAUGACAGUACCGGGAGAAUAAGCUCCGGCUAACUCCGUUCCAGCAGCCGCGGUAAUACGGAGGGAGCUAGCGUUGUUCGGAAUUACUGGGCGUAAAGCGCACGUAGGCGGCUUUGUAAGUUAGAGGUGAAAGCCUGGAGCUCAACUCCAGAAUUGCCUUUAAGACUGCAUCGCUUGAAUCCAGGAGAGGUGAGUGGAAUUCCGAGUGUAGAGGUGAAAUUCGUAGAUAUUCGGAAGAACACCAGUGGCGAAGGCGGCUCACUGGACUGGUAUUGACGCUGAGGUGCGAAAGCGUGGGGAGCAAACAGG